Podarcis lilfordi (Lilford's wall lizard) is the source of this 74-nucleotide non-coding RNA. Lineage: Eukaryota; Metazoa; Chordata; Lepidosauria; Squamata; Lacertidae. The record is from the annotation of a GenBank genome assembly.
GGAGCACCAUAGCUCAGUGGUAGAACUCAUGCUUAGCAUGCUAAAGGUCUCCGGUUCAAUCCCUGGCAUCUCCA